UUCAUCACUGUGUGAGAGGCCUGUGUGAAAUCUCUCGUUCUUAUGUGAGUUUUAUAAGAUGUACACUGUGCAGAGCCCCUGCCUAUCCUUGGUGAUCCUAAGCGCAAUAAAGCCUCCUGAGUGGCAAGGUCUCCCAGCAAGGAGGAGGGGUAUCCUUCUACAGAAGCCAGCCCCCCUUCCUUGCCUCUCCUCCCACAGGACCAAGAUGUUUAAUGGGCCAGAGAUGCAGCCAGUGGGGAACCCUUUCCCCCACGACCACUGCCCUCAGAAUGUUGGCAUGGUCUUCCUCUUCUCCCAACUUCUUGAUCCUACACCUUCGCCACUCAGACCCUGCCUGUUGUCAUUUCAUCGCUGUCAUUCACUCACCUCUCCCUCAGCCUCAUGGAGAGGAUACAUUUUCUAAUGUCUGUAUAUAGUAUAUAUACUACAUAAAUAUAUAAAUUAUAUAUUACACUAAUUUAUGUCUUGUUUUUCGAACAAGAAUGAUUAAAUCUAUUCAUCUUACUCUCCCAAUAA
This 516-nucleotide long non-coding RNA is filed under the name Rattus norvegicus (Norway rat). RNAcentral describes it as "long non-coding RNA NONRATT019333". The record is from RNAcentral. Lineage: Eukaryota; Metazoa; Chordata; Mammalia; Rodentia; Muridae.